RNAcentral lists this ribosomal RNA (433 nucleotides) under uncultured bacterium. RNAcentral's name for it is "partial 16S ribosomal RNA". It matches the Rfam family "Bacterial small subunit ribosomal RNA", at positions 29 to 507 of the family's 1533-position model. The record is from RNAcentral.
AACGAACGCUGGCGGCAUGCCUAACACAUGCAAGUCGAACGAAACCUUCGUGUCUUGUUGCGCACGGGUGCGUAACGCGUGGUAACCUGCCCUUAGGUUCCGUAUAACUCCCCGUAAGGGGUCCUAAUACAGGUUGAUCUCAUCCCACCAAAGAUUUAUCGCUUCUGGAUGGGCGCGCGUUGGAUUAGCUAGUUGGUAGGGUACAAGCAUACUAUGGCGACGUUGCAUAGCUGGUCGGUGAGAAUGAACAGACACACUGGGACUGAGACACGGACCAGAAUGGGAGGGAAGGGAGGAGAGGGGAAUAGUGGAGAAGGGGGGAAAGCGUGAUAAAGCAGUGUGGGGGGAGUGAUGAAGGGGUUAGGAAAGUAAAGCUGUUUUAGACGGGAUGAUAAUGACAGUAACGGGAGAAGAAGCACCGGCUAACUACGUG